Ctenopharyngodon idella (grass carp) is the source of this 370-nucleotide long non-coding RNA. RefSeq lists it as uncharacterized. Lineage: Eukaryota; Metazoa; Chordata; Actinopteri; Cypriniformes; Xenocyprididae. The record is from RefSeq and is a predicted model, not a curated record. The transcript has 3 exons.
UGCUCAAUCCUAAUACGAGUCCUAACACACACACACACGUAUAUAUAUAUACCAUAGAAAAGAGAUCUGCUUAAUUAAUGCAACUAUUUGAUUGUUUGAUUGUGUUUAUUUUGUGUGUGUGUGUUAAAGUUCAUCUCUGUCAUGAAAUCAUGUACAUGUUUGGAGCAGUUGGUCUUGUUUUGUUGAACUCUGUUACACUGACAGCAGAACUGAUCCUGAAAGCACGAAACGGUGAGCGUGCUUUGAAGGAUCUGAGAGUCAUUGUCUUCCCCUCCGAAUGUGUUUUUGCCUUGUAUUGGCUGGUUUUACAAAUAUAUGCUUACUAUCUACACACAAUCAAAAGAACUCAGAUCAAAGACACAGACAUCAG